This 915-nucleotide ribosomal RNA is filed under the name uncultured archaeon. RNAcentral describes it as "bacterial SSU rRNA". It matches the Rfam family "Archaeal small subunit ribosomal RNA", at positions 1 to 922 of the family's 1478-position model. The record is from RNAcentral.
UUCCGGUUGAUCCUGCCGGAGGCUACCGCUAUUGGAGUUCGAUUAAGCCAUGCGAGUCGCGAGUCUUAGGGACUCGGCGUACCGCUCAGUAACACGUGGGUAACCUGCCCUAUGCUGGGGAAUAACCUCGGGAAACUGAGAAUAAUGCCCCAUAGUUCACCACGCCUGGAACGGUGGAUGGAUGAAAGCUCCGGCGGCAUAGGAUGGGCCUGCGGCGUAUCAGGUCGUAGGGGGUGUAAUGUACCCUCUAGCCAUCGACGCGUACGGGUGUUGGGAGACAUUGCCCGGAGAUGGAUUCUGAGACACGAAUCCAGACCCUACGGGGUGCAGCAGGCGCGAAAACUUGGCAAUGCGAGAAAUCGUGACCAGGGAACUCCAAGUGCAUCGGGUAAGACCGAUGCUUUUCUUGACUCUUCAAAGGUCUUGGAAUAAGGGGUGGGUAAGGACGGUGCCAGCCGCCGCGGUAAUACCGGCGCCUCAAGUGGUAGUCGCUUUUAUUGGGCCUAAAACGUCCGUAGCCGGUUUGGUACAUUCGUGGGUAAAUCAAGGCGCUCAACGUCUUGAAUUCUGCGAGCACGGCCAGACUUGGGACCGGGUGAGGUGUGGGGUACUCUCAGGGUAGGGGUAAAAUCCUGUCAUCCUGAGAGGACCACCUGUUGCGAAGGCGCCACACUAGAACGGAUCCGACGGUCAGGGACGAAGCCUAGGGGCACGAACCGGAUUAGAUACCCGGGUAGUCCUAGGUGUAAACGCUGUGGACUUGAUGUUGGGAGUGCUCCGAGCACCCUCAGUGUCGAAGCGAAGGUGAUAAGUCCACUGCCUGGGGAGUACGGUCGCAAGGCUGAAACUUAAAGGAAUUGGCGGGGGAGCACUGCAACCUGAGGAUUGUGCGGUUUAAUUGGAUUCAACGCCGGA